UGGCUCGGUUGGUGGAGCAUGAGAUUAUUGAUCUCAGAGUGGUGAGUUCAAGUCUCAC
RNAcentral lists this transfer RNA (58 nucleotides) under Canis lupus familiaris (dog). It matches the Rfam family "tRNA", at positions 8 to 63 of the family's 71-position model. Rfam says of the family: Transfer RNA (tRNA) molecules are approximately 80 nucleotides in length. Their secondary structure includes four short double-helical elements and three loops (D, anti-codon, and T loops). RNAcentral also lists the same sequence under 1 other name. The record is from Rfam by way of RNAcentral. Lineage: Eukaryota; Metazoa; Chordata; Mammalia; Carnivora; Canidae.